This 251-nucleotide ribosomal RNA is filed under the name uncultured bacterium. RNAcentral's name for it is "partial 16S ribosomal RNA". It matches the Rfam family "Bacterial small subunit ribosomal RNA", at positions 524 to 776 of the family's 1533-position model. The record is from RNAcentral.
UACAGAGGUCUCAAGCGUUGUUCGGAUUCAUUGGGCGUAAAGGGUGUGUAGGUGCGGCGCGUAAGUCGGGUGUGAAAUUUCGAGCUUAACUCGAAACUGCAUUCGAUACUGCGUGCUUGAGGACUGGAGAGGAGACUGGAAUUUACGGUGUAGCGGUGAAAUGCGUAGAUAUCGUAAGGAAGACCAGUGGCGAAGGCGGGUCUCUGGACAGUUCCUGACGCUGAGGCACGAAGGCCAGGGGAGCAAACGGG